GUUCCAUAACCCGGUUUAAAUCCAAACUGUGCAUCGGUUAUUAUAUUGUGUUUUUCGCUCCAUUUGGUAAGCCUGGUGUUAAUAAUUGAUGUGAACAGUUUACCCACAUGUGAUACGAGAGAAAUACCACGAUAGUUGCCAGGGUCAUCUACUGGUCCUUUUUUGAAAACUGGUAUUAUAAUGUUAUUUACCCAUAUUUCUGGAAAAUCGCCAGCACUCAAUAUACGGUUAAACAGCUUACACAAUACUGGUUUGAUAAAGUUUCUGCUCGUUAAUAUAUAUUCGUUCAUGAUAUUGUCAUAUCCAGUGGAUUUAUCACGUUUUAAAU
This 328-nucleotide long non-coding RNA is filed under the name Mytilus galloprovincialis (Mediterranean mussel). Lineage: Eukaryota; Metazoa; Mollusca; Bivalvia; Mytilida; Mytilidae. The record is from RNAcentral.